Small nucleolar RNA from Ailuropoda melanoleuca (giant panda), 80 nucleotides. Ensembl annotates it as small nucleolar RNA, C/D box 53. Lineage: Eukaryota; Metazoa; Chordata; Mammalia; Carnivora; Ursidae. The record is from Ensembl.
GUGCUAUGAUGACAUCCAUAUAUGGUUUCGCUUCUGGCUGAGUUCCAGAGAUGACACCUUUCUCUUGGCUGUCUGAGCGU